This is a non-coding RNA of Pelobates cultripes (western spadefoot toad), 253 nucleotides long. NCBI's taxonomy places the organism in Eukaryota, Metazoa, Chordata, Amphibia, Anura, Pelobatidae. The record is from the annotation of a GenBank genome assembly.
CCCAUGCCUAAGGAAAUUCCUGCAGAAAACUGUAAACCAAGCAACACCAACCUUCACUCAUCUGACAAUCGAUGAUCAAGACCUCAUCUCACCCUGUAUUCCACUACAAACUCUCCCGUAUACUGAUGAAGUGCAGAAAGUCUAGGAAGGGACAGUACAGGGACAGCAUCCGUCUUUAUGGGUAGACUGCCGUACGGAGAAGUAGUGGAUAAGCCACUAUGGGUUACCAGCGGAGUGAAGAGUGUUCCUGAAC